RNAcentral lists this ribosomal RNA (622 nucleotides) under Rollandina capitata. RNAcentral describes it as "eukaryotic LSU rRNA". It matches the Rfam family "Eukaryotic large subunit ribosomal RNA", at positions 1 to 634 of the family's 3401-position model. Lineage: Eukaryota; Fungi; Ascomycota; Eurotiomycetes; Onygenales; Gymnoascaceae. The record is from RNAcentral.
UUGACCUCGGAUCAGGUAGGGAUACCCGCUGAACUUAAGCAUAUCAAUAAGCGGAGGAAAAGAAACCAACAGGGAUUGCCUCAGUAACGGCGAGUGAAGCGGCAACAGCUCAAAUUUGAAAUCUGGCCCUUUCAGGGUCCGAGUUGUAAUUUGCAGAGGAUGCUUCGGGUACGGCCGCGGCGUAAGUCCCCUGGAACGGGGUGUCAUAGAGGGUGAGAAUCCCGUCUUCCGUCGCCGGUUCCGUGCCCGUGUGAAGCUCCUUCGACGAGUCGAGUUGUUUGGGAAUGCAGCUCUAAAUGGGUGGUAAAUUUCAUCUAAAGCUAAAUACUGGCUGGAGACCGAUAGCGCACAAGUAGAGUGAUCGAAAGGUUAAAAGCACCUUGAAAAGGGAGUUAAAUAGCACGUGAAAUUGUUGAAAGGGAAGCGCUUGCAACCAGACUCGGCCACAGGGGCUCAACGGGUGCGUGUCACCCGUGCGCUCCCCUGUAGUCGGGCCAGCAUCAGUUUUGGCGGCCGGUCAAAGGCCCCUGGAAGGUGUCGUCUCUCGGGACGUCUUAUAGCCAGGGGUGCAAUGCGGCCUGCCGGGACUGAGGAACGCGCUUCGGCACGGAUGCUGGCAUAA